GAUGAACGCUGGCGGCGUGCCUAAUACAUGCGAGUCGAGCGAACGGACGAGAAGCUUGCUUUUCUGAUGUUAGCGGCGGACGGGUGAGUAACACGUGGAUAACCUACCUAUAAGACUGGGAUAACUUCGGGAAACCGGAGCUAAUACCGGAUAAUAUUUUGAACCGCAUGGUUCAAAAGUGAAAGACGGUCUUGCUGUCACUUAUAGAUGGAUCCGCGCUGCAUUUGCUAGUUGGUAAGGUAACGGCUUACCAAGGCAACGAUGCAUAGCCGACCUGAGAGGGUGAUCGGCCACACUGGAACUGAGACACGGUCCAGACUCCUACGGGAGGCAGCAGUAGGGAAUCUUCCGCAAUGGGCGAAAGCCUGACGGAGCAACGCCGCGUGAGUGAUGAAGGUCUUCGGAUCGUAAAACUCUGUUAUUAGGGAAGAACAUAUGUGUAAGUAACUGUGCACAUCUUGACGGUACCUAAUCAGAAAGCCACGGCUAACUACGUG
This 497-nucleotide ribosomal RNA is filed under the name uncultured bacterium. Its description in RNAcentral is "partial 16S ribosomal RNA". It matches the Rfam family "Bacterial small subunit ribosomal RNA", at positions 28 to 507 of the family's 1533-position model. The record is from RNAcentral.